RNAcentral lists this ribosomal RNA (289 nucleotides) under uncultured eukaryote. RNAcentral's name for it is "partial 18S ribosomal RNA". It matches the Rfam family "Eukaryotic small subunit ribosomal RNA", at positions 6 to 289 of the family's 1831-position model. The record is from RNAcentral.
GGUUGAUCCUGCCGGUAGCAUAUGCUUGUCUCAAAGAUUAAGCCAUGCAUGUCUAAGUAUAAACAACUUUAUACUGUGAAACUGCGUACAGCUCAUUAUAUCAGCAAUAAUUUAUUUGAUGGUACCUUACUACAUGGAUACCCGUAGUAAUUCUAGAGCUAAUACAUGCGUAAAAUUCCGACUCUCGUAGAAGGAACGUAUUUAUUAGAUACAAAACCAAUGCGGUCCUCACGGGCCGGUCCGUUGGUGAAUCAUAAUAACUGAUCGAAUCGCAUGGCUUCGGCCGGCG